UAGGGAAUCUUCGGCAAUGGACGCAAGUCUGACCGAGCAACGCCGCGUGAGUGAAGAAGGUUUUCGGAUCGUAAAACUCUGUUGUUAGAGAAGAACAAGGACGUUAGUAACUGAACGUCCCCUGACGGUAUCUAACCAGAAAGCCACGGCUAACUACGUGCCAGCAGCCGCGGUAAUACGUAGGUGGCAAGCGUUGUCCGGAUUUAUUGGGCGUAAAGCGAGCGCAGGCGGUUUCUUAAGUCUGAUGUGAAAGCCCCCGGCUCAACCGGGGAGGGUCAUUGGAAACUGGGAGACUAGAGUGCAGAAGAGGAGAGUGGAAUUCCAUGUGUAGCGGUGAAAUGCGUAGAUAUAUGGAGGAACACCAGUGGCGAAGGCGGCUAUCUGGUCUGUAACUGACGCUGAGGCACGAAAGCGUGGGGAGCAAACAGG
RNAcentral lists this ribosomal RNA (429 nucleotides) under Gemmatimonadota bacterium. RNAcentral describes it as "Gemmatimonadetes bacterium partial 16S ribosomal RNA". It matches the Rfam family "Bacterial small subunit ribosomal RNA", at positions 355 to 776 of the family's 1533-position model. The record is from RNAcentral. Lineage: Bacteria; Pseudomonadati; Gemmatimonadota.